AAUCAACGCUGGCGGCGUGCCUCAGACAUGCAAGUCGAACGCGAAAGUCCCCUUCGGGGGACAAGUAGAGUGGCGCACGGGUGAGUAACACGUAGGUAAUCUACCUUCGGAUGGGGAAUAACAACCGGAAACGGUUGCUAAUACCGCAUAAUGCAGCGGCACCUAAUGGUGACAGUUGUUAAAGCGGGGGAUCGAAAGACCUCGCGUCUGAAGAGGAGCCUGCGGCGGAUUAGCUAGNGGUAAGGUAAUGGCUUACCAAGGCUACGAUCCGUAACCGGCCUGAGAGGGCGGUCGGUCACACUGACACUGACAUACGGGUCAGACUCCUACGGGAGCAGCAGUCGGGAAUUUUGGGCAAUGGGCGAAAGCCUGACCCAGCAACGCCG
RNAcentral lists this ribosomal RNA (386 nucleotides) under uncultured bacterium. RNAcentral describes it as "bacterial SSU rRNA". It matches the Rfam family "Bacterial small subunit ribosomal RNA", at positions 32 to 399 of the family's 1533-position model. The record is from RNAcentral.